Long non-coding RNA from Asparagus officinalis (garden asparagus), 636 nucleotides. RefSeq lists it as uncharacterized. Lineage: Eukaryota; Viridiplantae; Streptophyta; Magnoliopsida; Asparagales; Asparagaceae. The record is from RefSeq and is a predicted model, not a curated record. The transcript is spliced from 2 exons.
AUAUUUCAGAAAAACAAAGCCCCGAAGGAGUACAUACCAAGAGGCCCAGUCGAGAGAGAGUUGGUACAAGAGCUCGAAGAGCUUUCUACUAUGGCACAUGACGCAUUGCGCACGACUACCGAGCAGGAGCCGAGGAACAUGUUCCUUCGAAUGAUAAAAAAGAUACGGUCGGCUCUUCAGAGGACGCGUCAUGCAAGCCGUGAUGGACGGGAGGAGCAACCAAUUGAGUACGGGCGGCGACGUCGACGAGGGCACACGGGGGCGGGAUCAAGCUAUGCGCAUGAUGAAGCUAGCGGCUCACAGCAAACUCAGGCCGAAUGUUCACAGGCGGUUCGAGACGACGCGGAUGUCAUGCACUCCCAACUUCACACACAACCGGACGAGGAACUUAUCCGAGCUCACGUCGAAGGUGAUCGAGGAAGGGGGAGAGGAAGAAGAGGGAGAGGGAGAGGGAGAGGGAGAGGAAGAGGGAGGGGAAAGGGCGUUGUUGAUAUUUGUUAAGUUUCGAUGGACUUGAUAGGAUGUUUGUGUUUGAGUUGCAAUUUGGACUUGAUAUGUUGUUUGUGUUGCGAUGGAUUUGAUAUAAUGUUAAGUUUGCGAAUAUGAAUUGUACGUAUUAUAUUUGUGUUUGUGAUU